CUCCUGGCUGAUCCGAUGCCAGCAACUGUCAUCUUCCCAAAAUUUAAAUGGACACUUGGAUGUUCUUAUUAUUUUUCUUCUGAAAUGAACAUAGCUGUGAAUUUUUUCUUGGGUGGAAUCAAAUUCUGAUGGAAUUUACAAUAUACUCUGUAUUGUUGUUUUUUAGGUCUUACACAUCUCGUGUACCCAGGGUCAUCCACACCCGUUUUGAACGUUCAUUAGAUGUUUAUCGGCUAGCUGGGGAGGCAUGAAUAAUCUUUAAAAGACCAUGUUUGUACUGUUAAACACAUGCUCCAGAAAUGCUAUACAUGUUCUCUUCUUUGUUCUUUUGGUAAUCUACUUCAUCACUGACUCAAUUGUUGGUUCAACCAGUCUUUGUGGAUUCAGUUCUUGAUAUUAGCAAAUAUUUUUCUGACCGGCAGGUGCAUGUGAGUUACAAGGCAACAUUGAGAACACAAAAGCCAGUAUGUUUGAGCUAUGGGCACAAGCUAGGGGCAGUACCUCCCGGCUGCCCCAGCACUUAAGGCGACUGUCCAAUUCCACUUUCAUCCAUGGAGGCUGUGGUUUAGUUCUCAGGUUUGGCAGCCUUUUCUCUCUACGACUAAGUGUUUUAGUCCUGUCAAAUGAAGCAGUGGUGUUUUUGCAACAUAGAACAGAUAUAUAAGGUGCUUCCAAUUUCUAAAUCCCAGAAUUGGUGAGACCUUAGUUAGUUUGGACUCAUAGCAAUGU
RNAcentral lists this long non-coding RNA (729 nucleotides) under Triticum aestivum (bread wheat). RNAcentral's name for it is "long non-coding RNA (TAES_LNC001622)". The record is from RNAcentral. Lineage: Eukaryota; Viridiplantae; Streptophyta; Magnoliopsida; Poales; Poaceae.